This 292-nucleotide ribosomal RNA is filed under the name uncultured bacterium. Its description in RNAcentral is "partial 16S ribosomal RNA". It matches the Rfam family "Bacterial small subunit ribosomal RNA", at positions 505 to 796 of the family's 1533-position model. The record is from RNAcentral.
GUGCCAGCCGCCGCGGUAACACGUAGGAGACGAGCGUUAUCCGGAUUUACUGGGUGUAAAGCGCGUGCAGGCGGAACGGCAAGUUGGAUGUGAAAGCUCCUGGCUUAACUGGGAGAGGUCGUACAAGACUGCCGAUCUAGAGGACAGCAGAGGGGAGUGGAAUUCCGAGUGUAGCGGUAAAAUGCAUAGAUAUUCGGAAGAACACCAGUGGCGAAAGCGGCUCUCUGGGCUGUAACUGACGCUCAGACGCGAAAGCUAGGGUAGCAAACGGGAUUAGAUACCCCCGUAGUCC